Long non-coding RNA from Chlorocebus sabaeus (green monkey), 483 nucleotides. RefSeq lists it as uncharacterized. Lineage: Eukaryota; Metazoa; Chordata; Mammalia; Primates; Cercopithecidae. The record is from RefSeq and is a predicted model, not a curated record.
CAUAUCUAAACAACAGACAGAAGCAAUCACCACACGCUCGCGAUCGCUGCGAAUGCAGGCUCCGCUCGCCCGCCCUCGGCCAGGAAGCAGGAGCACUGCGCCUGCGCAAGAGACGGCGGCCGCCCUGGGGCAAAGAGGGUCGUGGUCACAAAGAAGUUGGGAGGUUUCCAGUACCAGACAAAAUGGAGUAAGGCACUGCAGUCUCUGCCACUGAUCACAACUAAAAAUUCUGGACAAAAUGCAACUAAGGACUCUGAAAAGUAAACAAGCAGCCAAAUUACAGAAAGGAAUCAAAGCUUGAGGAAACUAUCUGUAUGGGAUCUGUCCCCAAGAUGAUGAGACAGAAUUUGCAGUUUGAACCUCAUUAGAUUGAUUGCCUAUGAAAACAAACAAAACAAAAACAAAGUCAACACCUUCUUUUUUUUUUUUUAGAUGGAGUCUUCACUCUGUCCCCCAGGCUGGAGUGCAGUGGCACAAUCUCGG